UGGCGAACGGGUGAGUAACACGUGGGUGAUCUGCCCUGCACUCUGGGAUAAGCCUGGGAAACUGGGUCUAAUACCGGAUAGGACCAUGCUUUAGUGUGUGUGGUGGAAAGUUUUUUCGGUGUAUGAUGAGCCCGCGGCCUAUCAGCUUGUUGGUGGGGUAAUGGCCUACCAAGGCGGCGACGGGUAGCCGGACUGAGAGGUUGGUCGGCCACAUUGGGACUGAGAUACGGCCCAG
This 235-nucleotide ribosomal RNA is filed under the name uncultured Actinomycetales bacterium. RNAcentral's name for it is "partial 16S ribosomal RNA". It matches the Rfam family "Bacterial small subunit ribosomal RNA", at positions 96 to 334 of the family's 1533-position model. The record is from RNAcentral. Lineage: Bacteria; Bacillati; Actinomycetota; Actinomycetes; Actinomycetales.